Molecule: transfer RNA, 74 nt
Filed under: Actinomycetes bacterium
Lineage: Bacteria; Bacillati; Actinomycetota; Actinomycetes
Description: tRNA-Ala
Rfam family: tRNA
About the family: Transfer RNA (tRNA) molecules are approximately 80 nucleotides in length. Their secondary structure includes four short double-helical elements and three loops (D, anti-codon, and T loops).
Source: RNAcentral
GGGGCUGUAGCUCAGUCCGGCAGAGCACUUGACUGGCAGUCAAGGGGUCACGGGUUCAAAUCCCGUCAGCUCCA